GAUGAACGCUGGCGGCGUGCCUAAUGCAUGCAAGUCGAGCGAACGGACGAGAAGCUUGCUUCUCUGAUGUUAGCGGCGGACGGGUGAGUAACACGUGGAUAACCUACCUAUAAGACUGGGAUAACUUCGGGAAACCGGAGCUAAUACCGGAUAAUAUUUUGAACCGCAUGGUUCAAAAGUGAAAGACGGUCUUGCUGUCACUUAUAGAUGGAUCCGCGCUGCAUUAGCUAGUUGGUAAGGUAACGGCUUACCAAGGCAACGAUGCAUAGCCGACCUGAGAGGGUGAUCGGCCACACUGGAACUGAGACACGGUCCAGACUCCUACGGGAGGCAGCAGUAGGGAAUCUUCCGCAAUGGGCGAAAGCCUGACGGAGCAACGCCGCGUGAGUGAAGAAGGUCUUCGGAUCGUAAAACUCUGUUAUUAGGGAAGAACAUAUGUGUAAGUAACUGUGCACAUCUUGACGGUACCUAAUCAGAAAGCCACGGCUAACUACGUG
This 497-nucleotide ribosomal RNA is filed under the name uncultured bacterium. RNAcentral describes it as "partial 16S ribosomal RNA". It matches the Rfam family "Bacterial small subunit ribosomal RNA", at positions 28 to 507 of the family's 1533-position model. The record is from RNAcentral.